GCUGAUCCCUCGCCUCCCAAAAAGGCGUAUUGGGGCGGGAAAAGGUUCCCAGGGAAAAGCGAGUUUUUCGCUGGAAGAGGGCGGCCUAAGCUAGGGCUCCUCAGCGGGGAAAGGAGGCAGCCAGGCUGGGAAUCGGGGCGGUCACAGGCUGCCACAGGCCCCUCCGAGCCAAAGCUAGCGGGAGCUGGGCUGGAAGUGUUGGAGGGAUCGCUUGUGCGACAGGAACCGGAGCUUCCGGACUCCCUGGGCAAGGCUGCUGCGCAUGUGGAGAGGGGGUGUGGGCACUGGGGAGACCGGGCGGGGACUGGAAAGAGAAAGUAGUUGAAGGGUACUGAAGCAGCUGGCUGCGUCAGGCUCGGGAAGCGGCCGGAGCUGAGAAUAGCUGGAGGCUUGGAGAGACGUGCUUGCCCGGGUUUUAGUUUUCCCUUGAUGCUCCCAUAUAGCUGAGGCUGGAGCUGGAAAUAGAUGGAUCCUUGCUCCAGCUAAUAGUGCAACUGCUCUAGUCUGCCUGUAAUAGGUUUGCUGGUGUAGCAGAGAUUCGUCUGUACUGGUGUCAUGGUUUAAGCCCAGCCAGCAGCUAAGUACCACAGCCACUCACUCACCUUCCCCCCUCCAGUGGGAUGGGGUGGAGACACGGGGGGAACAAAAGAUAAAACAAGCAACAGUCAGACACCAGGUGGUGCCGGAGACCAGCUGGAAAAGAAAGUGAAACGACUGCAAGGAGCGUUCAGAAAGAGCGAGAAGCAAAGAACUGCAAGAUACUCAGUUUCUGAUUUCAGUAAAUUAGGAACAACGUACAUUAACGUCAGCAGUAUGGCACAGUUAGGAACAAAACCAUUUUCAGAGGUAAAGAAUAGUACAAAAACAUACCAUGAAUGAGCAAUAAUCUCUGUUCUUGUCAUCUAGCUUUAAGAUUCUGAUAAGCGUUUAAAACAUACAACAGCUACAGAGUGAAAGUGCUGUGUGAAUAUGUGAGUUGAACUGGGAGGAUACGUACAUCUGUUUUUAUUUAGCAAUGCACAAGGCAAAUAAAAUAUUAGAAUUUUUAAAUAUAACAUAGGGAGUUAAAUGAAGCAUUCAGCCAAAAUGAGCUUAGCCAAGUAUCAUCCAUAGUUCAGUGUUUUGGUGGUUCUGGGGUUGGCUGAGCUGAGUUGAGGAAGCCCCUGUGAGUAGCUGGUCUGCAGAGCACCUUCACCACAUUCGAGGGCUUUUCCUGAGUUGUGACACUUGGGUCUGUGUGCCACAUACCAUCUUGGUCCACAUCAGGUACCAAAAAUUAUGACAGUUUGAAGCCAGUUGUUGAAUGAGAAAGGAGGAAGCAGGUAGUUACUUUUGGUUGGGUUUUUUUCUCCAACAAAACUGUGUCACAGCUUCUAUGGAGCAAGAUGAGUGGUGUUCUGUUGAUCAGUUGAUGGUGACAUGGGAAUGGUGGUUUUCAUCUGGAUUUUAAGAGUGAAUAUGCCAUAAAAAUGACAUUAAGAGGUGGAAUACAGAACAGAGAAUACAGAAGCAGGGUAUAAUCCCUGUUGCUGUCUUCAUUGUUCAGUGUAUUCCUUCGAGAAUUUUACAUGGGGAAAAUUCAAUCACCCAAAAGACCAGCAUUCUCCAGAUUAUUCCAGAACACAGAGUAUUCGCAUGUUUGAGAAUGUGUUGCUACAUUGCCUCCCACAGAUAAAACACAGAUUUCAAGCGACUCUGUUUACACUUAACUUGCUCUGGUGCUUUGUGAUGUGUCCUUAUGGUCUGGAAAACUGGUUAUUUACAGCUGAUGUUACGUGUUGUGUAUAAAUAGUUUACUCUGGACUUUGCCACGUUAGACGUUUUGAAGCAGUUUACACAGGCAUAGGAUGGUGUUUACGUGUGACAUCAAACAGCCUUUGUGAACGGGCAUGCUUUCUUGCCUGCCUUUGUAACAUUAAUAGUUAAGAUGAUUUUCCUGAUGUAGCAGCAGAGGGCACCGGAGUCUUCAUGUUACCUUCACAAGCCGACAUAGCUGUGUUUGAGCAGGGAACACGUAGGUGGCCGUAGUGCUUGUUUCAAGGAUUGCAACUGUUUAGCAGUCUAUGAUAUAACGUUUCCUCUUUUCUGUGUGUCAGUUCUCUUUUAUGUAGAGGCAUUCAGAUACCUGUAUCCUUACUCUGGUUUCUGCUCACUAAUUUAAAUCCUUUUCCUGGCAGAGCAGACACUAUGAUCAAGAAGUCAUUUUCCCAGGAUGUGUUUAAUCCUCUGUGUCAUGGGUACAUUGACUUCUUUGGUUUCAGCUCAGGCACACUGUUUCAGGUAGUGGAGAGCUGUAUUUGUGUUCUCCUUUGACUUAAAACCAUAAAAAAAUACCACACACUAACUCCCCCCUCCCCCCUCAUGCACACUUUAACAGUUUUUCCUAAUUACAAACUGAACAUUUACUCAAAUUAUUGCUGAUGAAUAAUUUUACACAUUUAAUGUCAUAUAUUAAUAUUGUGAGUAGCUAGAUAAUUUAAGUUACUUGUUCUAUGCAAAGUGGAUAAAUUAUGUAUUUUGCCUGAAGGAAGAACACAUGGUGUUGCCCUCUUCUAUACUGACAUAGGUCAGCAACGCUAUUACUAUUCUGUUUCAGUAUAACAUUAUUUUCCAUGUGUUCAUAAAGUAAUAACAUAAAGAGAAAAUAAAAACAUCCCUUGGGAUGUUCUGUGAAACAGACAUUUCUGACUCUUAUUUGGUAAAUACAUUUUCUUAAAAAAAAACAAAGAUCAAACAUAUUAUUUGCUAACCUGAGACUACCAUAGGAUUUAAGUGAAAGUAAUUAUGAAAGAAGCUAACUUUAUGCAAACAUGAUUCAUACAGUAUUAUUUUUCCACUUUAUGGUAUAGGUGUUCACCUGGAAAGAAACUUGAUGCUAUAAAUUUGUAAGUUAUCAUGUGUGGAACAGACAAAAAUAUAUUUUUAUGCUUUGUGGCUGAUCUACUUUCAGUGGGUGUGAAGCUUUCGUGGGGAGGGGUGAGUACCACCUAAAUCAGAAUAAAUACUUUAACUUGUUA
Strigops habroptila (Kakapo) is the source of this 3017-nucleotide long non-coding RNA. RefSeq lists it as uncharacterized. The transcript has 2 exons. Lineage: Eukaryota; Metazoa; Chordata; Aves; Psittaciformes; Psittacidae. The record is from RefSeq and is a predicted model, not a curated record.